AUGAAUGCCAUGCUGUCCAAUCACUUGCCACCAAAGAUUGUUGAAGUAGUGUGCUGCAAGCUGACUCCCUUACAGAUGACACUGUACAACCACUUCACACACUCCAAAAAUAUUUUGUCCCAGUUGAUAUCUGAAGAAGCAAAGAGCACUAAAGUUUUGGCAUAUAUUACUGUUCUUAAGAAAUUAUGCAACCAUCUGAAGGUAAUUAAUUCUAGUUUAAUGUUUCGACCCAAGAUAUAUCUCUUUCAGUGA
This 252-nucleotide ribosomal RNA is filed under the name Triticum aestivum (bread wheat). RNAcentral describes it as "partial small subunit ribosomal RNA". Lineage: Eukaryota; Viridiplantae; Streptophyta; Magnoliopsida; Poales; Poaceae. The record is from RNAcentral.